RNAcentral lists this long non-coding RNA (725 nucleotides) under Homo sapiens (human). RNAcentral describes it as "HSALNT0081031". The record is from RNAcentral. Lineage: Eukaryota; Metazoa; Chordata; Mammalia; Primates; Hominidae.
AUUAGGUUUAUUUAGAGUGGAGCAAGGGAAAGCAGGGAUGUGGAGGUUGGGCGAGAUUAGUAAGUAUCUAAAAUUACAAGAAAGAACAUAUAGAUAGAAUAAGAGAAAAUGCGUGCAUCUGUCCAGGAAGAGUUUGUCUUGGGCAACGCCAAGAAGCUGCCUGCCUGAGCAUUGUGAGAGUUGCACCACUUUGCCAAAGAGAGGCUUCUUGUUACCAGCAUCCUGGACAAUUACAUGUUCGGAAAAGAAAACAGUCUUUCAUCAAUUAUGGUUAAGGAUCCCCAAACUGAAACACAUGUGGCUAAACGCCAUUCAUAUCACCAGCCCACACCAGUCUGGUGGUGGGGGAGAGAAGGAAAAAGAGGAGAUAAAUGGCCUACAUGAUUGAUUUCAACUAAGACCCAAAUCUUGGAGAACAAUUAUUGGAUUUACCACUGUUUGUUUUUGCAACAUUUCGGAAAUCGGCAAAAAAAAAAAAAAAAGUUUACAAAGUCGAAGAGGCAUGUGGCAGCUAAGAAGUUGUUUCCUAGGAAGAGGAGAUCAAGACACAGACAAGAUGAGGUUAAGACCAUGUGAAGACAGAGAGAGAAGACUGCAAUCCACAGGCCAAGGAGAGAGGACUCAGAAGAAGCAACCUGGCUAAUACCUUUAUCUCAGACUUCUGGCAUCCAUUAUUAUUAAACAACAGAUUUCAGUUGUUUAAGCCACUAGCCUGUGGUAUUUUG